UCGAGAGUUUGAUCCUGGCUCAGGAUGAACGCUAGCGGCAGGCUUAACACAUGCAAGUCGAGGGGUAUAGUUCUUCGGAGCUAGAGACCGGCGCACGGGUACGUAACGCGUAUGCAAUCUACCUUUUACAGAGGGAUAGCCCAGAGAAAUUUGGAUUAAUGCCCCAUAGUGUUAUUGAAUCGCAUGGUUUAAUAACUAAAGUUCCAACGGUAUAAGAUGAGCAUGCGUCCCAUUAGUUAG
Molecule: ribosomal RNA, 240 nt
Filed under: uncultured Flavobacterium sp.
Lineage: Bacteria; Pseudomonadati; Bacteroidota; Flavobacteriia; Flavobacteriales; Flavobacteriaceae
Description: partial 16S ribosomal RNA
Rfam family: Bacterial small subunit ribosomal RNA
Source: RNAcentral